This is a long non-coding RNA of Rattus norvegicus (Norway rat), 843 nucleotides long. RefSeq lists it as uncharacterized. The record is from RefSeq and is a predicted model, not a curated record. Lineage: Eukaryota; Metazoa; Chordata; Mammalia; Rodentia; Muridae.
GGGAGGGGAAAAUUGGGGGGUUGGGGAGAGGACUGUACUAAUGUGUUCAGCCCUAAAGUGGAAUGGAUGCGUGGGGUGGGGGUAGGGGGGCGGUAGUAAGGCAAAAGCUGGAAGGAGAGGACCAUUAAGGAAGCGCCUUUCUUCCCUCCCCUGCCAAAGCCCAGGAUGGCCUGAAAUGUAUUAUGUCGUCCAGGCUGGCUUUGGGGUUAUGGUCCUCCUCCUCCUCCUUCGUGCUAGAAUGUGGAGCUUUCUUCACCUCACUCAAGCUCUCAGCGAGAUGCUCAGAACGAUCAAUAGAUGACGUUCCCAGCCCGUGUGCUGGUGGAGGGUCCUACACUGCGCAGGACAAGUCUGCUGAGACUCCAAACGGUCAGCUUGACAGAUGCCGAGAGCCACAGCAGGUGCUUUCUGCCUUCUGUUGGCAGGAGAGGCAGAAAGGCCUGUGCUGACCAAUCUCCAAUCUGCUAGUCAAUGAGGAAGACAUAACUCUUUAGGCCAACACAGCUUGCUAAUUUCCUGUGAUCGGACACCUUUGCAACUCUGAGCCAGGUUCAUUUCCAUACGUAAUGGGACAGAAGUGUAUAGGUAUUUUGUCUCAGUUAAGAGAGCAACAGAUAUCGUGGGUAAGUCAGCAUCACCAAUCCACGUAGCAUAGGUCUACCGGAUGCCAGUGCACAGACAGCUGCCUCCAGGAGACACUCACAGGAGCUGUGCUUCAGGCUACCAGCGGGAUAGAUGCACCUGUUUGCUGUUAAACAGAUCUGUGUGAAAGCUCAGCAGAGGAUGACUUCAGAUUUGAAUGUUCCAUCCACCCCAGCUUAGAUAUAAUUUGUCCACUAAGAA